This 145-nucleotide ribosomal RNA is filed under the name uncultured bacterium. RNAcentral describes it as "partial 16S ribosomal RNA". It matches the Rfam family "Bacterial small subunit ribosomal RNA", at positions 354 to 492 of the family's 1533-position model. The record is from RNAcentral.
GUGGGGAAUCUUCCGCAAUGGACGAAAGUCUGACGGAGCAACGCCGCGUGUACGAUGAAGGCCUUCGGGUUGUAAAGUACUGUCUUCAGGGACGAAUGGUAUCUAUGAAAAUAUGCAGGUAAAUGACGUACAGAGAGACGCAGGC